AUGACCCUGGGGUGUUUGCCAGUCAUAAUGUCCUUGAGCCGAUACUACCCAACCGGGAAUCUCUUCUUGGGUUGUUGUGCAUAUCCGCGCGACGGAGAGCCUGAUACCUGAAAGGGAUACCCACCUUGAACCUUUCGGUUCGAGGCAACGUUGACAGCGGCAUCUUGGGGUUACU
RNAcentral lists this non-coding RNA (175 nucleotides) under Porticoccaceae bacterium. RNAcentral describes it as "6S RNA". It matches the Rfam family "6S / SsrS RNA". From Rfam's summary of the family: E. coli 6S RNA was the first non coding RNA to be sequenced, but its function was unknown until recently. Lineage: Bacteria; Pseudomonadati; Pseudomonadota; Gammaproteobacteria; Cellvibrionales; Porticoccaceae. The record is from RNAcentral.